RNAcentral lists this ribosomal RNA (253 nucleotides) under uncultured bacterium. RNAcentral describes it as "partial 16S ribosomal RNA". It matches the Rfam family "Bacterial small subunit ribosomal RNA", at positions 524 to 776 of the family's 1533-position model. The record is from RNAcentral.
UACGGAGGAUCCGAGCGUUAUCCGGAUUUAUUGGGUUUAAAGGGAGCGUAGGUGGAUUGUUAAGUCAGUUGUGAAAGUUUGCGGCUCAACCGUAAAAUUGCAGUUGAAACUGGCAGUCUUGAGUACAGUAGAGGUGGGCGGAAUUCGUGGUGUAGCGGUGAAAUGCUUAGAUAUCACGAAGAACUCCGAUUGCGAAGGCAGCUCACUGUACUGCAACUGACACUGAGGCUCGAAAGUGUGGGUAUCAAACAGG